Long non-coding RNA from Myotis daubentonii (Daubenton's bat), 3615 nucleotides. RefSeq lists it as uncharacterized. NCBI's taxonomy places the organism in Eukaryota, Metazoa, Chordata, Mammalia, Chiroptera, Vespertilionidae. The record is from RefSeq and is a predicted model, not a curated record. The transcript is spliced from 2 exons.
ACCAGACGACUUCUGAAGUACUUCCGGUCAUCCCUGUUAGUUGCUCUCUUCUUCAACCAUCAGCAUAAGUUUCUCAUCUGUCAGCUAGUUCUGGUUCCUUUUCUUUCUUUAGUGGCCUUGCUCUAUUCACCACCUUUAUUUCAUCAUUUGUGUUCUUUCCAUCUAAACUUCUUUUACCCAGGUAACAAGGGCUAUUAGUGUACCGUUGGUGAAAACUCCAAAUAAUACUUGUACUUUCUCCAUUUGUUUUUAUUAUGGUUAGUGCUAAAGGUUCUUUGUACUCUGGUGAACAGAAAUUGUUUGCAAUUUGCCUCAGUCUUUUUUUUUUUUUAAUUUUUUCAAUUACAGUUGACAUUAAAUAUUACAUUAGUUUCAGGUAUAUAUCAUAAUGGUUAGCUACUUAAUAUAAUUUACUAUUGAUCCCCCUCAAUAAAUCUAGUACCCAAGAAGCACCAUACAUACUUACUACAAUAUUGUAGACUAUAUUCCCUAUGCUGUACUUUACAUCCCCAUGCCUGUUCUGUAACUACCAAUUUAUACUUCUUAAUCCCUUCACUUUUUUCAUUCAGUCCCCCAACCCCCCUCCCUUUUAGCAACUGUCAUUUUGUUCUCUGUAUCUAUGAGUCUGUUUCUGUUAAUUUUUGUAGGUUCCACAUAUAAGUGAAAGCGUAUCAUAUUUGUCUUUCUCUGACUUACUUCACUUAGCAUAAUACUCUAGGUUCAUUCAUGCUGUCAUAGUUGGUAAGAUUUCAUUAUUUUUUAUGACUGAGUAAUAUUCCAUUGUAUGUAUGUGCCACAUCUUUAUCCAGUCAUCUAUUGAUGGACACUUAGGUUGCGUCCAUAUCUUGGCUAUUGUAAAUAAUGCUGCAGUGAACAUAGGGAUGCAUAUAUCUUUCUGAAUUAGUGUUUUGGAUUUCUUUGGGUAAUACCUAGAAGUGGAAUUGCUGUUCCAUUUUUAAUUUUUGAGGAACCUCCAUACUGUUUUCCAUAGCAGCUGCAUUAGAAUUCCUACAAACAGUGCAUGGGGGUUCCCUUUUCUCCACAUCCUUGCCAACACUUGUUGUUUGUUGAUUUAUUGAUGAUAGCCAUUCUGACAGGUGUGAUGUGAUAUCUCAUUAUGGUUUUAAUUUGCAUUUCUCUGAUGAUUAGAGAUGUUGAACAUCAUUUCAUAUGUUCUCCUGGGAGAAAUAUCUAUUCAAGUCCUCUGCCCAUUUUUUAAUUGGAUUGUUUUGGUUUUUUGGUGUUAGGCUGCAUGACCUAACAGUCUUUUAAUUGUUAAAUUCAUAAAUUUAUUUGUGCAGUUCAGAGUGGCGCACCCUCUGCUUUAUUACCCAGCCUCUGGGCUCUCACUGUAGUAGCCCUCUUAUCUUCCAUUGGUGGGGGACAGAUGUUCCACACAUUUCUGGUUUCCAGCUAACUAAAGCGUAUUUCUUUUUACAUUUCAAUUUUAAGUUUUCUGAUGGUCUAAAAAAAGAUAAUAGAUGUGUAAAAAUGUAUUUUCCUGUCUUAAAUAAGGUACAUGGAACAUAAUUUAUUGUACUGUGCUGCAAUAUAUUGAUGUCUCCUGGUAGUGGGCAUGUAGCUUUUUGACGAAUUGAGGAAAUGUUUGUUUUACAUUUUUUAGAGUUUUUGUGUGUGUGUGUGUGUGUCUCCCUACCCCUUUUCUAUUUGUCUUCUGCCUUGAGUGGUUCCUGUUCCCCUCCUAAUGCGUUGGAUCUGCCCUACUCUGAGGAGGCAAGUUUGUUAGAAUUGCGUAAAGUGUAAAAGGGACAGAGGAGCAUAGGUGUAGAUUUGUGUGUUUUAUUAAUGUUGUAUUUUUUGAGGAAUAUUUUGACGUCUAAAUAAGUGAACUAUUUCUAUUUUUUCCACUUUUUAAUUUUUUCUGAAUUAUUUACUACAAAUCAAAAUCACUUUUCCCUUUUAUGUUUUUAAUUUAUUUUUUACUCUUCUUUUAUCAUAUGGACAACUUGAAGUAAGCCAUAAAUUUAAGAUGGCAUUGCCCGCUGCUUCAUUACCUUCCUUUUUUCUUUGUCUAGUUAUUUUUAGCUUUCAUUUUGGGCAAAGUGAGAAUUUUCAAGAUUUUUUUCUGUCACCUCAUAGUUUUCCCCCAAACUUUAAUUUAAAAAUGUGUGUGUAAAUAUCUUAUCAAGAAUCAAAGCACAAAAACUCAACAAGUUGGACUACAUCAAACUAAAAAUACUUCUAUGCAGCAAAAGAAACAGUCAAUGAAAUGAAAAGGCAACCUGUAGAAUGAGAGAAAAUAUUUGCAAACCAUAUAUCUGAUAUGGGGUUUAAAAUCUAAAAUAUAUAUGAAACUCAUGCGACUCAAUAUAAAAAGAAAAAGCAAAGGGCCUCAAGCCAGCAGCCUGAUCUCCAGGGUCUGCUAGCCUCUGUAAAGCGGUUUACUGUUAUUUUGUGCUUGAAAUAAUGUCCCACCAUUAAUUCAGGCAUGUUUCUUUGUAUCCUCUUUAGCUCUCUAUAUCCCCUGUAUUUUCAGUUGAACUUUAGUUGCACAUUUGGGAUUUUCUUAGUAUUAGCUUUGUCCUUUUUUUUUUUUGAUUUGUUUUGUUAAUCCUAACCUGAGUAUAUUUUUUCCAUUGUUUUUCAGAAAAAGUAGAAAAAAGGGAGGGGGGAAAGAAGGAAAGGAGGGAGUAGAGCGAGAGAGAGAGAGAGAGAGAGAGAGAGAGAGAGAGAGAUAUGAGAGAGACACAUUGACUGGUUGGCCUCUAAGGGGAGACACGGGGGUGGGCAAGGAACGGGGGAGCAGGGAGCUAACUGGCAACCCAAGUACCCAGGUACAUGCCCUUGUCUGGGAAUCCAGCCCAUGACCAUUUGGUGCAUAGGUUCACCCUGACCACUGAGACACACCGGCCAGGGCUAGCUUUUAAUCUGUGUCGCAGAGGUAUUGUGUGUGGUUCAUCAGGUUCCAUUGUCCUCUAGCUUAUGCUGCUUUUGCUCCAAGUCACCUUUUGUUUUUGUCUCAGGUACCAAAUAUAUUUUCCUUUUUUUGGUCAUCUGAUAUCUGAUAAAUUCAUAUUCUCACUGGCCUUCUUUCUUCAAAUGACCAUUUUUUCACUUUAGUAUUGUAUCUAAAAUCAUUCCUUGCUUUAUUUUAAAACAAAAAAAUUAGGUUUCUUUUGAUUCCUGAAGCAGCAGAUAGCAAUGUUAUCUUGAAUACUGGUAUCUGCUAUUUUCUGAGUUCUUUGUGGAAAACACUGUCCAUUUUCAGGUUACCUUUUCUUUUUUUUUUUUUUUGUUUGCAUGUUUUCUUGCUUGUCUUUUUUUCCUCUUGUCUGUCUGUUAUCAUAUAUCUUUUUUAAAAAAAUAUUUUAUUGAUUUUUUACAGAGAGGAAGGGAGAGGGAUAGAGAGUUAGAAACACCGAUGAGUGAGAAACAUCAAUCAGCUGCCUCCUGCAUACCCCCUAUUGGGGAUGUGCCCACAGCCAAGAUAUAUGCCCUUGACCGGAAUCGAACCUGGGACCCUUCAGUCCGCAGGCCGACGCUGUAUCCACUGAGCCAAACCGGUUAGGGCUGUUAUCAUAUAUCUUGGUGAUAGAAAUAAUUUACUGUGAGUGUCCCUUCCUGCUGAGGUGAUGAAAGUGGUUACCUCUUUUU